UCCAGACUCCUACGGGAGGCAGCAGUGGGGAAUAUUGCACAAUGGGGGAAACCCUGAUGCAGCGACGCCGCGUGAGUGAAGAGGUAUCUCGGUACGUAAAGCUCUAUCAGCAGGGAAGAAAAUGACGGUACCUGACUAAGAAGCCCCGGCUAACUACGUGCCAGCAGCCGCGGUAAUACGUAGGGGGCAAGCGUUAUCCGGAUUUACUGGGUGUAAAGGGAGCGUAGACGGCAGCACAAGUCUGGAGUGAAAUCCCGGGGCUUAACCCCGGAACUGCUUUGGAAACUGUGCGGCUGGAGUGCAGGAGGGGUAAGCGGAAUUCCUAGUGUAGCGGUGAAAUGCGUAGAUAUCAGGAGGAACACCGGUGGCGAAGGCGGCCUGCUGGACGGCGACUGACGUUGAGGCUCGAAAGCGUGGGGAGCGAACAGGAUUAGAUACCCGGGUAC
This 446-nucleotide ribosomal RNA is filed under the name uncultured bacterium. RNAcentral's name for it is "bacterial SSU rRNA". It matches the Rfam family "Bacterial small subunit ribosomal RNA", at positions 330 to 793 of the family's 1533-position model. The record is from RNAcentral.